UACAGAGGUCUCGAGCGUUAGUCGGAGUCACUGGGCUUAAAGCGUACGUAGGCGGGCGCGCAGGCGUCGUGUGAAAGCCCUCAGCUCAACUGAGGAACUGCACGGCGAACCGCGCGUCUUGAGACAAGUAGGGGCGGUCGGAACGAUAGGUGGAGUGGUGAAAUGCGUUGAUAUCUAUCGGAAUGCCGAAGGAGAAAUCAGGCCGCUGGGCUUGUUCUGACGCUGAGGCACGAAAGCGUGGGGAGCGAACAGG
This 253-nucleotide ribosomal RNA is filed under the name uncultured bacterium. RNAcentral describes it as "partial 16S ribosomal RNA". It matches the Rfam family "Bacterial small subunit ribosomal RNA", at positions 524 to 776 of the family's 1533-position model. The record is from RNAcentral.